UUUUGAAACAUAGAAUUUCGUUUUUUUGUUUGGUUUUUAUAUGAUCUAAAAGAAAAAGCUGUGUUCGGAUCUGCGAUGGGUGGUGGCGUUUUAUGUUAGUUUUCAUUUUCUCAUUUGAAAUGAUUAGGGCAAUAAUGAUUUCCUUCUGAAAGUUCUUUUUUUUCCGAAAAGAAAAGAGGAUCGUUUUUUUUUCUUUUCUCUUUUUUGUUUUCAAUAUUUUAAUAAAUUAAUGAUCCAAAUCUGUCAACCAAACCAUGAGGAAGAAGCUCGAUACCCGUUUCCCAGCCGCUCUCAUUAAAAAGAUUAUGCAAGCUGAUGAAGAUGUUGGGAAGAUUGCAUUAGCAGUGCUUGUUUUAGUUUCUAAAGCCUUGAAAUUGUUUCUACAAGACCUUUGUGAUCGUACAUAUGAGAUUACCCUUCAGAGAGGUGCAAAGACCAUGAAUUCAUUACACUUGUAAGUGAAGAAUUAGCAUUAUUCUUUGUAGCAUGCGACGUUUAUUUUCUACUUGAGGACUCGAUCAUCUAUCUGCAUUUAUAUAAAUUUUUCAUUCAUAUAACACUCUUUGGCCAUUGUGUUUAAGUAUUUAUUGACAACCCAUAUUCCAUUUCUCUCAAAAUACCAACAUUUAAACAUUUUUCUAUCCUAAGCAUGAAUUGAACCCUCUGCUGGCCUGUAAUCUAUGUUACUCAGACUUGGGGAUAAUUUUAGGAUAUGGGUAUAUGUCCGAAUAGGGUAUGCUCAAAAAAAAAA
This is a long non-coding RNA of Hibiscus syriacus, 751 nucleotides long. RefSeq lists it as uncharacterized. The transcript is spliced from 3 exons. Lineage: Eukaryota; Viridiplantae; Streptophyta; Magnoliopsida; Malvales; Malvaceae. The record is from RefSeq and is a predicted model, not a curated record.